This is a long non-coding RNA of Schistocerca nitens (vagrant locust), 1186 nucleotides long. RefSeq lists it as uncharacterized. Lineage: Eukaryota; Metazoa; Arthropoda; Insecta; Orthoptera; Acrididae. The transcript has 5 exons. The record is from RefSeq and is a predicted model, not a curated record.
CGAUCAACUGCCCUGCUUCAAUCAGCGAGGGAACAGCUGUCGGCAUGCAACGCCAUACUGAACAUUUGACUUCCUGAUCCAUCGUAAAAUAAAAAUAUCACUUGCCGUCCAGUAUAAUGGGCUGCUUACAGUUCUCGUGCAGCUUGCCGUAUGUGCUGCCUUACGGAAAGACAAAAUCACGCACUCCAAAGGUAUUGCUCAAAAUGAGGACUACCACGGUCACGGCAGAGUGUACAGCGGCGCACCAUCGACAGUCUCACCAGCCUAAGAGGGCCACGAGUUUGGAGUAGUACUUCCACGCCCGCGACGCUCCUAGCAAUGAGGACCCUAUCCGUAUCGACUGGAGGCCCCCAGAAGAAGAGAAACAACAAGAAGAACAAGAAGAAGAAGAAUUUCAUUGGUGGCACGUCUGCUGACCGAGCUGGUCAAGCAACACUUGAACUAUAACCAAUCCUCUGUUGUCGAAACUGUACAUUAAUGUGGUUCCUAACAACGAGUACAAAGCGUGCUGGGCCUCCAUAAAGUUGAAACCAAGUAUUUGAGCCACAUUUUCUGUCACUCGAUACAGCGAUAAUUCAAAAUAUCAUUGACAGAAGAAGUGGAGAAAUUGCCACAGCGUCCUUACACCGUCUUCGCCGGAAGUAAGGAUAGUUCCCAAGUUUGUGAAUGAACGUAAUGACAUCGUUUGUGCAAAACGCAGUUCCCAUUUCGAUUACUGGCUGCUCUGUGUACCCGCCCACAUCUAGAAGAGAUAAUCGUGAAGAUUCAAGAUGUCUCUUGAAAACCUUGCAGCUUAACAGGACCAUAAUUGAUAACAUAAGUGUGCAAAAUGAGUAUUGGUACUGUGUGUCAUUGAAGUUAUUACGUGAUUUGAAAGGGACGAUAAAUACAUGUGAACUACACUGUGAGUGAACAAUGAAAAUUCCAUUCGCACCUUAUAUAAGCCAUCCCAUAUCCCAAAAUUUUCAGCUGUGUAUUUAGUGAUAAAGACAUGCUAGUGUGUGACAUAGAUGCAGCCGUCCACCCCUCCCGCCUUGAAAUGGUGGCUGUGAUGACAAACUGACCUGUACCGUAGCCCAAGAUCUAAGUUACGUUGGAAGGUUGCGUGAUUUAAGGUUGAUGAUGUGUAAGUGAAGAAAGUGAAAAUUACUGAUCUUACAGUUAAAAGUGGACACUGUGAAUAGCA